Molecule: long non-coding RNA, 516 nt
Filed under: Homo sapiens (human)
Lineage: Eukaryota; Metazoa; Chordata; Mammalia; Primates; Hominidae
Description: HSALNT0398292
Source: RNAcentral
CAAUCCUCCUGCCACAGCCUCCCAAGUAGUUGGGACCACAGACAUCGCUGGCCUUCCAGGCUGGGUGAGGCAACCACUGUGGGCUCCCAAGCCUUUACGCGUCCCCAACCCAGCCCUGACUCUCUGAGUCAUCAAGGCCUGAGGACAAUCUGUGUUCCCAGUGAUGGCACAUGGCCCGCUAUUAUGUCUCUGCUGUGUCCUCUGCAGCACGUCGGGGUAGCAGGGACCAGCUUGCAAGCUUGAAGUGUGCAGAUGGAACACAGAGCACUCCAGCCACCCAGGCAGAUAUCAGAGGAUGGGCCCUCAGGCACUGAUUCCUGUCUGUCACCUGGGAGAGGCUCCCUGAGGCCAGGUGGAAAUCAUACCCGGAUGCCACCAGAAUGAUGAUUCAGCCCUUUCCGUGCUUGUUCCAGAGGGGAAGCCCAUGAAAGGAGGACAGCCAGUGCUCUCCUGUGUGCCACGUUCCAGAAGCUCAGUCUCACUCUGUCGCGCAGGCUGGAGUGCAGUGGCACGAUC